GAUGAACGCUGGCGGCGUGCCUAACACAUGCAAGUCGAGCGAGAUUAAGUGUAGUGAGGGCUUCGGCCUGAGUGAAGCUUAUGAAAGCGGCGGACGGGUGAGUAACGCGUGGGCAACCUGCCCCAUACAGAGGGAUAGCCACUGGAAACGGUGAUUAAUACCUCAUAAGUCAGUAGGAUCGCAUGAUUUAGCUGACAAAGAUUUAUCGGUAUGGGAUGGGCCCGCGUCUGAUUAGCUAGUUGGUGAGGUAACGGCUCACCAAGGCGACGAUCAGUAGCCGACCUGAGAGGGUGAUCGGCCACACUGGAACUGAGACACGGUCCAGACUCCUACGGGAGGCAGCAGUGGGGAAUAUUGCACAAUGGGCGCAAGCCUGAUGCAGCAACGCCGCGUGAGUGAUGAAGGCCUUCGGGUUGUAAAACUCUGUCCUAUGGGAAGAAACAAAUGACGGUACCAUGGGAGGAAGCCCCGGCUAACUACGUGCCAGCCGCCGCGGUAA
This 499-nucleotide ribosomal RNA is filed under the name uncultured bacterium. Its description in RNAcentral is "partial 16S ribosomal RNA". It matches the Rfam family "Bacterial small subunit ribosomal RNA", at positions 28 to 523 of the family's 1533-position model. The record is from RNAcentral.